Molecule: long non-coding RNA, 1261 nt
Organism: Mytilus californianus (California mussel)
Lineage: Eukaryota; Metazoa; Mollusca; Bivalvia; Mytilida; Mytilidae
Exons: 2
Source: RefSeq, a predicted model, not a curated record
ACCCCACCAAAAUUCAAACUUGAUCUUUAUUUUGUGGUAAUAAGCAUUGUGUAUAAGUUUCAUAAUAUUUGGUUGAAGCAAACUUAAGUUAGAGAGCGGAAACUAAAAAAUUUUGCAAUUUUUCCAUUUAUAAAGGGGCAUAACUCUAGAACAGAUUAAGUGACGCCACCAAAAUUCAAACUUGAUCUGCAUUUUGUGGUAAUAAGCAUUGUGUAUAAGUUCCAUAAUAUUUGGUUGAGACAAACUUGUUAAAGAAAGAAAACUAAAAAUUUUGCAAUUUUUCCAUUUAUAAAGGGACAUAACUCUAGAACGGUUAAAGUGACGGCACUAAAAUUCAAACUUGAUCUGUGUUUUGUAGUAAUAAGCAUUGUGUAUACGUUUCAUAGUAUUUGGUUGGAGCAAACUCAAGUUAGAGAACGGAAACCAAUUUUGGAACGUAUGGACGUACGUACAGACAGACAGACAAGGGUAAAACUUAAUGCCCCCUCCGCUACGGCGGGGGCAUAAAAACUGACAGUAUAAACAUGAUAAAGGGAAAUGUUCUGGAUUUUAACAUUGCUCAACCAAAAAAUGUCUAUAAAUGUAAUAGGGUUAGCAUAAAAAAUAAGGCAGGAUUCAUAGCAUCAACAUAUAAGGUAGGUAGGGAGGAAGGAAUCAUAGCAUCAAACUAUUGGGUAGGUAGGGAGGCAGGAUUCAUAGUAUCAAAAUAUAAGGUAGGUUGGGAGUCAGGAAUUAUAGUAUCAAAAAAAAGGGUAGGUAGGGAGCCAGGAAUCAUAGCAUCAAAAUAUAAGGUAGGUAGGGAGGCAGGAAUCAUAGCAUCAAAAUAUAAGGUAGGUAGGGAGGUAGGAAUCAUAACAUCAAAAUCUAAGGUAGGUAAGGAGGCAGGAAUCAGUACUUAAUAAUUUUGGGCCUAAUAUAAAUAUUACUCUUACCUGACAUUAGAAGAAGGAAAUCAAGAGGCAAUAGUUGUAAGCCAUACAAAUGUUGCAUUAUUAUCUAUAUACAUGCAUUUGUAAUGUACAAAAAAACUGCUUGCAGGAUAAAAAGACCUUUCUUCUGAUUAAAGGAACAGGAUAGAGGUUUUUGUAUAGUAAUAUGUACAUUAUAUAUUGACGUAAUAUCAAUGUCAAACAUCUGCUACACCUUGAUCACUUACAUGCAGUACAAAACUAGGACAAACAAAAUAGAUUUAUUAAAAUACUGACAGCAAAUCUUCCUAAUAAAUGUAAUUUAUCAAAUGAGACUUUCACAGUGUGGCUAA